Equus caballus (horse) is the source of this 1611-nucleotide long non-coding RNA. Lineage: Eukaryota; Metazoa; Chordata; Mammalia; Perissodactyla; Equidae. The record is from Ensembl.
CGGUAUUUAGAUGUGCUUCUGUGCUGUCUCUGUUCCGUCACGUGCAAAGGAUAAGCAUUUUCAAGAGCAGGAUCGCCUGGAAAACUAGCAGGCCUCCCUUUCCCCCCUUGGAGCUGCACUGCUCCAUGGGUUUUGUGUGUGGCUCCAGAAGCUGGGUAGUUCAUUGUUCUGGUGACUCUUGAUGGAACACAGAAAGGGAGAGGGGAACGAAACUUAAUGCUCUCUUAAUAUGCCAUCAAAAACAAUCAGGUUGCAGAACUUCAUGAAAGCUUUACUAGUCAUCUUACUGUUCUGACAUUGUGUAAAAGUGGUAUUAACAUUGUGUGACCUUUCAAAGCGCUACGUAGGUUUAUAAGUAGGUAACAGGGAUAUUGAAGAUCAGAGCACUUGAAACAAAGUUAUGGGGAAACAGGUGUGCAUGGUGGAACCCCACUUUGAGCAGGCAAGUGACACUCCCUGGGGCUCAGGAGGGAAGGUUCCGUUUGUGAUUCUUUCUGUGUCCCUGGAUCUGCCCACUCUGCGCAGAGCUCCGCCACCCAGUGCCCCUUCUGCUUCAAACCCAGGACACUGUCAGAAAGUUCACCCCAAAACUAAUUUACUGUAAAAACAUUGAGGUCUGCUGCAAAGUUCCCCGACUUUCCCUAGUUUAUUCAUCCGUCCUUGUUUCGGGCCGGCCACAGCCGCACAGAAGCAGCCUUAGGCUUCCUUCGUAACUGGGCUGCAGCGUUGGGUCCCCUAACGCUGCACCCCAAGUCUGCAGGCAGACAGCCGGCCGCAGUGCUGUUAACAAGAGGGGACAUCCAAACACUUGCUCAAAGGUGGGAUCUCCUUCGACCGAGAAAGGACAGAGGCAAGAGGAGAAAAGACUCUGCGCUCCCACCCAGCCCUCACAGUGUCUCAAGGUCUGAACCAUAGAGCAGGAAAUGAAAUGCACUUUCAGAAGCUAAAAGGACAGUUGGGAUAGGAAAGGCUGUCGUAGGCGGGGUGGGGUGCCAUGUCUUUGGCUCCGACCCUGCUCUGCACAAGGCACAUACUUCUAAGAGGAGAGUGGACCACUGCCUGCCUGGUUGUGUUUAAAACGGCAGACAGUUGGGAGGGGAUAAAAGGAGGGAGCAUAUGACUUUGCAACCAUAUUAUAACAUUGGCUUUCCACAACAUAAAUGGUGUGUCUCCUGUGUCCCCUGAGUUCAGAUAAAGAGGAGAAACAGGCAUCUCCCAGCUUCUUGCCUCUGCUUGAGUGGGCACGUGUGCAUUACCCACUCCAGAGAGCCUCCCUCUCCGAGGACACGCCCUCCUCCCACGGUAGACCGUGGCCCCACUUCCUCCAUCUGUGGCAGUAGCACAGGCUAGAGUUGCCAAGUCUGCCCUCCCUCUGAGUAAUGUUGAACUCUGGCCUAUAGCAUCACGGGACCUGGAGCCUAGGGUGGGACCUCGUAAAGCCUCUGAAUGUCGCUGCUUACAAGCUACUGCAAACUGAGGGCAAAUUGCAAUCUUCUCUUUCUUUUUGUUGCAAGGGGUCUUCGCAGGUCUCUUAACAUCUGCUUUCCCCAGCACCCUGCCUGGAGCGGCUGGCCAGCUCUCCGCACCCCGCCCCCUCCCACCUGUCUGACU